GAUGAACGCUGGCGGCGUGCCUAAUACAUGCAAGUCGAGCGAACGGACGAGAAGCUUGCUUCUCUGAUGUUAGCGGCGGACGGGUGAGUAACACGUGGAUAACCUACCUAUAAGACUGGGAUAACUUCGGGAAACCGGAGCUAAUACCGGAUAAUAUUUUGAACCGCAUGGUUCAAAAGUGAAAGACGGUCUUGCUGUCACUUAUAGAUGGAUCCGCGCUGCAUUAGCUAGUUGGUAAGGUAACGGCUUACCAAGGCAACGAUGCAUAGACGACCUGAGAGGGCGAUCGGGCACCGUACAGCUUGGACACGGUCCUGACUCCUGCGGGAGGCCGCAGUAGGGAAUCUUCCGCAUAGGGCGCAGACCUGACGGCGCGACGCCGCGUGAGUGAUGCAGGUCUUCCGAUCGUAUGACUCUGUUAUUAGGGAUAAACAUAUGUGUAAGUAACUGUGCACAUCUUCACGUUACCUCAUCAGACCGCCACGGCUACCUACGUG
RNAcentral lists this ribosomal RNA (497 nucleotides) under uncultured bacterium. RNAcentral's name for it is "partial 16S ribosomal RNA". It matches the Rfam family "Bacterial small subunit ribosomal RNA", at positions 28 to 507 of the family's 1533-position model. The record is from RNAcentral.